CAUUGAUCCUCUGGAACUGGAGUUACGGAUAUUUGUGAGCCACUGUGUGGAUGCUGGGAAUUGAACUUAGCCAGUGCUUAACCACUGGGCUAUCUGUCCAGCUCCCAAACAUUUCCAUAUUCAUAUAUUGAUUAUCUCUGGUGUUUUGUUACGGUAACAGAAAGCUAAGGCAAACCCUAAACUUUCCUCUGACUGGAACAGGGUUUCCUAGACCUUUGUACAGCUGGCUCUUCACAUGAAACAAACUUCAGAUACCACAGACCACCACUUAGGUGUGUUAAGAUUCUGGGAUUGCUCAGAGAUUCCCCAGUCUGACAAUUAAGAUUUUUUUCUCAGGUUUUAUUAAAUACUGGCUAGGACUAUGAAAACUGGCCAGAUCCAUACCUGAGACUCAUGCUCAGAAUAUGGUGUCAAAUGACAUUAAGUCAGGGACUUAUAGAGGCAAAACCACAAGGCUGCGUACUUCCUGUCUUUGUGCAAUUGGAGACAAGUACACAUCCUGACAUAUUCCCUGACUAUGUAUGAUCAAGCACACAUUCUGUGCCCUUUGGGGCAACCAGACUUGUUUACAGAUGCAAAAAUACUGCCUUGUUAUCUCACAUGAACAACAGCCCCCAGCAUUCCAGUUAUCUGUCCUUAGGCAGGUGGGGCUCACAGUUAGAGGCAUUUUUGCUUUAUAGCUCUCUUAAGCACAGUCAUUUAAACGUAAUACAUAAUGAAAACCAUCACAGGUGCUGUGUGAUUGUCUGCAAGCGACCCUGUGUUUCUUUCUCAGUUGCAACGAGGGGACAUGAGAGAGCCUUCGCAGGGAGUUGCUGUGAAAGAAAGACGAACAUUUGUAAGGAUCCUGAAGUCGCUCCCAACAUGCACACUAGUUUGAGCACUAUUUUUUUUAUUGUAAUUAAAACCCCAGCCUUCUUCUCGGAGAGUCUUUCUCUCUAAAAAUAGGGCCAUCACUUUGAGGGAGGGGUUGUCACUUUUGUUUUCUUUUUGGCACUCAACACUGAAUUCAAUUAGUCGAUGUAUUCAAUAAUCCGCUUAUGUGUUUACUUCUGCUUCUCCUUCUAUGUGUCAUGCUAGAAAAUGUCCCAAAGGACACCUGUCUUCACUGACUGAAGAGUGUGUGAGGGACAUCUGGCACAGUCUUGUCCUUGGACUUACAUAGCAGUCAGCGUGGGGACCGGACACAGCCCAGAGCCCCUUCGGUGGCGCUAAUUGCUCACUGGUAGAGAGCACCACCAGUAGGAUGUUAUUGUCCAUCCAGCGACAUCCCAGCUGUAGAGCCCUCUCCUAAUCAGCAUCGUGUUCCUAGGCAAAUCAGCGAUGGCUUCCAUCAGAGGAGAACAGCCCUGCCCAUCAUCCUGGACACUCUGACAGGCCAUUCAAGCUCUGGAGCUACCUGAGCUGCCUCUGCCUCCAGAAUGCGGGAGUUAAAGCUGUGCACCACCAUUGCCUGGAAGAGAGACUCUUGAGGAGUUGCCUCGAUCAGAUUGUUCUGUGAGAAGUCUGUGGGGCAUUUUCAUGAUAAUGACAGCUGUGGAAGAGUCCAGCUCACUGUGGACAGUUCCAGUUUUGGGUCAGUGGUCUUGGGCUGAGUAAGCCAUGCAGAACAAGAAAGCACAGCCCUCCAUGGUCUCCUUCAGUUUCAGCCUUGACUUCCCUCAGCGAUGGACUGUGAUGUAGAAGUGAAAGCUGAAAUAAAUCCUUUCGUCACGAUGA
Molecule: long non-coding RNA, 1719 nt
Organism: Myodes glareolus (Bank vole)
Lineage: Eukaryota; Metazoa; Chordata; Mammalia; Rodentia; Cricetidae
Source: RefSeq, a predicted model, not a curated record